Oreochromis aureus is the source of this 320-nucleotide long non-coding RNA. Lineage: Eukaryota; Metazoa; Chordata; Actinopteri; Cichliformes; Cichlidae. The record is from Ensembl.
GGAGGCAGGGACGGAAAGGGAGAGGAAAGAAGAAGUUUAGAGUCUUCUUUUAUGAAGUUAAUCAUCAAGUAUACAAGGAUCCCGGCGGACAAAACUGUCGACCCUUUGCCCUGUUAUAUGAAAUUAAGCUGAAAUUUGUGCAGCAGCAGCAACAGAGCUUGGUGGGCAGGAGGGGCAUUCAAGGGAAAGGGAGGAACAGAGCUGGGCUACAGACUCACACGCUGCCUGUGCUGGCUGAUGGAAUAUAUGGUUACCAAACAUGAAUAAGGAAGGAGCGUUGAAUACCCAACAUGAACAGCCCACCCUCCACAUGCACACAC